This 68-nucleotide small nuclear RNA is filed under the name Cervus elaphus hippelaphus. It matches the Rfam family "U4 spliceosomal RNA", at positions 1 to 68 of the family's 138-position model. From Rfam's summary of the family: U4 small nuclear RNA (U4 snRNA) is a component of the major U2-dependent spliceosome. The structure of U4 snRNA from yeast and human has been reported. The record is from RNAcentral. Lineage: Eukaryota; Metazoa; Chordata; Mammalia; Artiodactyla; Cervidae.
AGCUUUGCGCAGUGGCCGUAUCAUAGCCAAUGAGGUUUAUCCGAGGCACAAUUAUUGCUAGUUGAAAA